GAUGAACGCUAGCUACAGGCUUAACACAUGCAAGUCGAGGGGCAGCAUGAACUUAGCUUGCUAAGUUUGAUGGCGACCGGCGCACGGGUGAGUAACACGUAUCCAACCUGCCGAUGACUCGGGGAUAGCCUUUCGAAAGAAAGAUUAAUACCCGAUGGCAUAGUUCUUCCGCAUGGUAGAACUAUUAAAGAAUUUCGGUCAUCGAUGGGGAUGCGUUCCAUUAGGUUGUUGGCGGGGUAACGGCCCACCAAGCCUUCGAUGGAUAGGGGUUCUGAGAGGAAGGUCCCCCACAUUGGAACUGAGACACGGUCCAAACUCCUACGGGAGGCAGCAGUGAGGAAUAUUGGUCAAUGGACGAGAGUCUGAACCAGCCAAGUAGCGUGAAGGAUGACUGCCCUAUGGGUUGUAAACUUCUUUUAUACGGGAAUAAAGUGGGGCACGUGUGCCUUUUUGUAUGUACCGUAUGAAUAAGGAUCGGCUAACUCCGUGCCAGCAGCCGCGGUAAUACGGAGGAUCCGAGCGUUAUCCGGAUUUAUUGGGUUUAAAGGGAGCGUAGGCGGACGCUUAAGUCAGUUGUGAAAGUUUGCGGCUCAACCGUAAAAUUGCAGUUGAUACUGGGUGUCUUGAGUACAGUAGAGGCAGGCGGAAUUCGUGGUGUAGCGGUGAAAUGCUUAGAUAUCACGAAGAACUCCGAUUGCGAAGGCAGCCUGCUGGACUGUAACUGACGCUGAUGCUCGAAAGUGUGGGUAUCAAACAGGAUUAGAUACCCUGGUAGUCCACACAGUAAACGAUGAAUACUCGCUGUUUGCGAUAUACAGUAAGCGGCCAAGCGAAAGCGUUAAGUAUUCCACCUGGGGAGUACGCCGGCAACGGUGAAACUCAAAGGAAUUGACGGGGGCCCGCACAAGCGGAGGAACAUGUGGUUUAAUUCGAUGAUACGCGAGGAACCUUACCCGGGCUUGAAUUGCAACUGAAUGAUGUGGAGACAUGUCAGCCGCAAGGCAGUUGUGAAGGUGCUGCAUGGUUGUCGUCAGCUCGUGCCGUGAGGUGUCGGCUUAAGUGCCAUAACGAGCGCAACCCUUAUCGAUAGUUACCAUCAGGUUAUGCUGGGGACUCUGUCGAGACUGCCGUCGUAAGAUGUGAGGAAGGUGGGGAUGACGUCAAAUCAGCACGGCCCUUACGUCCGGGGCUACACACGUGUUACAAUGGGGGGUACAGAAGGCAGCUACACGGCGACGUGAUGCUAAUCCCGAAAGCCUCUCUCAGUUCGGAUUGGAGUCUGCAACCCGACUCCAUGAAGCUGGAUUCGCUAGUAAUCGCGCAUCAGCCACGGCGCGGUGAAUACGUUCCCGGGCCU
This 1357-nucleotide ribosomal RNA is filed under the name uncultured bacterium. Its description in RNAcentral is "bacterial SSU rRNA". It matches the Rfam family "Bacterial small subunit ribosomal RNA", at positions 28 to 1381 of the family's 1533-position model. The record is from RNAcentral.